Molecule: long non-coding RNA, 5189 nt
Organism: Gallus gallus (chicken)
Lineage: Eukaryota; Metazoa; Chordata; Aves; Galliformes; Phasianidae
Exons: 2
Source: RefSeq, a predicted model, not a curated record
GGCGGCGGCGCGCUCCCGUUCCUCGGGGUGCCCCGUGCCGGGAGCGGCGCGCCGGCCGUCGGUGGCUCCUGCUCUCCGUGACGGUCAGUUGGUCGCGCUGCCGCUUUGUUCUGCGCUUAGCGAGGACGCGCCGGGCUCCGCGCUGCUCCCGCCGAGGGUGCCGUGGAGUCUCUGUCAGUAUUCUGCAGACGGCCUUUACGGCUCCUCCAUCAGGGACGUCAGAUCCCAAGGGCAGCGGUUGCAGGCUGACGGAGCGGAGUUCUGCGGGGGGCCUCAGGCCGAAGCUCCGUGUUCUGAGGCAGCGCGGUUUCCCAGCCGCUCCCGUCCGUGCGUGCACAGCUUUGCCACUGUGGCACGCAGCACAGGCUGGGGGAGCGCUGUGUAGAAGCCUCUAAUUCUCGGCUUAGUCCUUCCCCACCCCUUUAAUGGUGAAUGGGCCGCUGCUAUGGAGACGCCAAGCUUAGCUCAAAAUGGCUAAUAAGGCGAAUUGGAAAGAGAAGCGUGGCCAGUGCGAUCGGGGGAAGGGAAGAGGCCCUUUUUGCCUGUGCCGUAUGAGAUGCAGCCAGGAGAGAGGGAAGGGCGGCAGCCACCCACGUACAGAGGUACGCUGAUGUGCUGUGAGGUGGAGAACGUAUGGGUCAGCUCAGGAGAUGUAUUCUCCUUCUCCCCUCAGUGCCAUUUUAUUCUUUGAGAAAUCUCGCAGCCAAAGCUAUAGAUGCAGGCAAAACGCACAACUUGUUUUCUUUUUGAACAGCAGAACAAAGGAAACACGGGGAUAAAGGCACUGCUCGAGGUGCAUCCUGAGGAUCAAAAAGGCCGGCGCUGCGGCUGAGCGCUUCAGGUCAUUUCAGUGAGUGAGGAGCCUCCUCUGCUCCCCCAGCAGCGGCCUCACCAUGAGGGGCUGUAAUACCCAGGCUCUGCACUGCAAAGAGUGUUGGUAAGGGGUUGUCAUGAGGAGAUGGGCACUGACCAUCCCAGCAUGCCUUAUGUCUUCAAGGAGCCAUUACUGCUCUAUCCCUUGGGUAUGCAGUUGUUAUCUUAAAAACAGAGGAAGGUUGACAUGGACUGUAACUGCUGGCUGGACUAGGAGUAUUAUCCCACCUAAAAAUAUCUUGGCAGCUAGAUUUUUUGUUUUUAUCAGUGGGAAUUGUAUGGCAUGUCUUUUACACAAACUUCAGUGCUGGGAAUACUUCCUGAACUGACUAUCAAUAACGUAAACCAAAUGCAUCAGAGGAUAAAAUAAGGGGGGAAACCCAUCAGGGUUAAAAAUCAGAGGUGUGAUUAUAUGCUUACAAAAAAGUUUAUGCUGGUGUAUAGGUAAAGCAUUCAAUGCACUGUUGUCACACAGUCCAGCAGAGGAAUUAUAGGUUAAUUGUACUUUUUUUUUUUAAUUAUCUACUAUUUGUUUCUACGAUUUAGAGGAAGAGCUUUCAUCUCCCUAAGCACAAAGCAAGUAAAAUAUAAGAACUUCCAAGUGGCAGCCUAGACUAUUUAAUGAAUAAAAACAUUGCUAUAAGAUUACCAUUUAUUUGAGGUAUCAGUGCCACGUAACCCUGUGUCUUGAUUAUUUCUAGACAUGCAAGCACACCCACAUGUGGUCCUGAGUGACACCAUUCAUGUGACCACAGCAAGCAAGUUAUUUGCUUUUCCAAUACAAUAGGUCAUAGGCCAUUUAUCACAGCUCUAGCUUUUUCUCUGCCCUAUUCUUAAAGUCAUAUUUGAAUUCUAGAAUUUUCAUAAGCAGAUUAACUUCUCACACCAUUCUGAGUUUAUCAGCAUGCUAGGUUUUGUAAGGUUUUCUUGUUUGCUUUUAUUGCCUUUCUGUAUGUAUCGUUUCUGAUUUCUUUCCUUUUUCCUCUUCAGCUUGCCUUUAUAAAUUUCUUCAGUAUUUCUCAUCUUUGUUGUUGAAUUCCCCUUGGGAUGAAUCCCUUUUUUCCUUGUGCUUCCUUUUUUAAACCUCCUUUGCUUUUUGCAUUAACAGUUAUUUCUUUGAAUAUACAUUAGGUAUAGAUAAAAAUUAAGCCCUGUGUGGCACAAACAUAUUAUCAAUGUAGAUGCAAAGAACGACUGUAGCUCAGUGUUAACAGGUCAUAGAAGACAAAGGCUUUUUCUAAUACCUAGAUUGUGGCAGGAGCCUAUCUGCUGGUGAAUCUCUGUCCUUUGUUACCACGUAGCACUACAAAUCUGAAGCCCAGUAAAAGUGGAGGACAUCCUCCUCAAUUUCUACCUUUUCCUGACAAAGCUUGUCAUCUACAGUACUAUAGGAGAAAUUUCCACUGGCAAGGGUGACACUAAGGUUGGUUUUUUUUUCGUCAUUCCUCAUCUCAGGUAGUCAUAAGCAGUAGUCAGUGAUUUGUGGGUUCUUCUUAAUGAACUUUUAAUCACCGCCUCCUGAUUACGAAUAGUUUUUUUUAUGUAAGCGCUGGUAGAGGCAGAAAUAAAAGCAGGCAGCUCCUCGAUUAAACAGGAGAAGGCGGUGCUGAGGUUCCUGGUGCUCAGCACACAGAGGAAUGGAAAUGCUCUAGCCAUGGGCUGAGGAAAUGGACUCACUGAGUGCUGUUGGAGCAGGAGCAAGGUUGAGAGCUUCUCCGGCUUUGUUUGCAAUUUUUCUGAGCAUCAUUUGUACAGGGAGAGGUAACAGGAACACUUACCUGUUCAGAUCAAUUUCAGUCAUGUUUUCUCUGAUGUGCAGGGCUGACACAAUGCAUAGACAGAUCCCUCAAGUCAGCAUUCCCUUAAGCACAGAACCUCGCUGCACAUAUAUUUCUGUUGGCAGUUUCGUCCCUACCUGGAAGCACGAAGGCAGAUUGUGGCAAGAAUUGACUUGCUGCUUGGUGUGUACUCAGCAGCAGGGUUUUCCUGAAGUACAUCCUAUGUCUUGCUUGGGUGACACAGGUCUUAGCUGGCCCAGUUUUCUAGCUCUUUUGCUUCCCUGUCUUUUGCUCUUGCUGUCCUCUUACAUGUACUUUAUUUUGCGUUCUUCCCUAUCUUGCUUGCCACAUUGUCCAUUUCCAUUCAAGUUCCCUUCUCAGGAACUUGUUCACCACCAUCAGUAUUCCUUUCCCUGUACAAACUGUCAUUCCCAGCUGUCAUUCAUCACUGAGGAACCUGUUGUUCCUAGCAGUCCUUCCUUCUAGUAUCAAAAGUAGUAAAAGCAGCCCCCCCCCCCCCCAAGCUUCGUGUUUCUUAAGAGAAAUGUUACCACUUCCUCUGUAAGGUAAUAGCAUCUCAGAUCAUUUAAGACAAUGAUAUAUUUUAGUCUGGUUACUGAAUGGUAACUUUUGUAUAUUGGAUCUGAAAUGGUCAUCUUGGAAAUGGUGAUGUACUAUUAACUAAGAAUUGUUUUAUUUUCUGCCUAAUUUUACUGCCCUUUCGAGGGUAUAUUAAUUCAGUUACCCAGGGGACUGUAAAGAAAGUGAAAAAUAGCUGCUCAAGAGAUAUUGCUUUCAGCUAUUUAGCAGUGUUACUAAAGUUACUGCUUUCAUUUAUUUCAGCAAGCUUUUAUUUUAAUCACUUGCAAUGCCUUACAUCUAUUCUCCAUUUUAUUAAUUAGUUCCUAUUUUUAUAAAAAUAACAUCACUGGUAUUUAGUUUGUAUUUCAAACUUAAAUACAUUUCAUCUUGAAGCCUUCGAAACUGGUGUUUUUUGGGGGGAAAAAAUCAUACUCCUUUCUUUCUGAAUUAAAAUGGGACACGUGUCAUACCUCUUCAUAUAAUUGUUUUUCUUUCUUUGUAGCUGGGAAGAGUUUAAACAGGAUGUUUCCCAUGUGGGUAGUCCUACUUGCUGGAGAUUGGUUCACAAGUAAAUGAAUAUGGUUGCACUUGCUUGUUGACGUACCAUACCUUUCUAUGAGUCAGUAAAAUACCUUAAGAGCUCCUACAUUCACCACUGCUGGUAAUAUUUCACCUUAUUUUCUUGGAGGAAGCUUCCCCAUGGAGCAACUGUAGUAAAUAUAUUAAUACUAUUCUACUGUGAGCACGGCCUUUUCAUUCUCUUGAUCUCGUCUCAUUGGGAAAACAGCAGCAGGUGACACCAUGUACCAAACAGUGGUGGUGACAGGUGAGUAGCUGGCAUGCUGCUGGAGGAAUAGCUCACCUGAAAGCUUGUACUGAUGCUUUGAGACUUUAGGGUGAUCCAGGAGCUGUUUUCAAGCUUUUUUGCAGCUACCUGAAGAAGUCCAGUGUAGUCUAGCUGUCUAGUCCCUGUACACAUUGUCAGUAACCUAAUAAGCAUGUUCUCCAGUAGAAGUAUUCAGAUUUUCAUGUUUUUGAUGGUAUUUUUAAAUGUUCUUUUAUUCUCUUAAUUCUGUCUUUCUCUUCACAUUCUUCUGCCACACCUUUACAAUAUUAUACACUGAGUCCUGUAGCCUUCACCUCUUCUAAGGGGAUUACAGGAAAAAUAAACAAGAAAGGGUCAGGAAAAGAUGUUAAGAAUAGGAAACAAAGAGAUGUUAGUAAAGCUAAGGGAGUUGGGGGGGAGGAAAAAAGUGCAAGGUUUAGUAUUUCACUGAGUUAGAUCAGAAUUAUGCUUGACGGAGAAAAAAUGCACCAGCCAGGAUUAGCAGAACAGAGAAUUGAAUUACUGAACUGUUAAGUCCCUUUAAACUUUCUGUCAGCUAAAUGUAGUACACCAGCCACAAGAGAUCAAUGACAAAUGCUUAACAGCACACCACUGUAUAAUAAAAGCAUCUGAAGCGUUGGACAUUGUCUGCAGGUAAACCUAAUUAUGUUUUAAACUGAAAACUUCCCAGUGUUCUGAAAUAAGUUCUCUACUUAAUCAGUCCAUCCUCAAAAUAAAUUCCAACUACUCCUAAUUUACACAGUGUUUAGAUACCUUGCACAGGAAAAGUGCAAAACAAAAUCAAAUUAAGUUGCAGACGUUACGACCGCUGUGAUUCCCAUAAUAAACUGUAUUCCUUUGUUUCUUGCAUACAGGUGACGUACCCCCAGUGAAUUAUUCAUCCAGUAGUGCAGUUUCAGUAUUUUAUUCUGAAAGCCUCUGACUAGCUAGUUUAAAACAAGCGAACAGAUAAAAUGUAAAGUGUUCUUUAUUAAAUAACUUCAAAGGUAAAGCAUAUUGUGCGACUAAGAGAGACAAUACUAUGGUUCCAAAGGAUUUUUACAACAGAAAACAAAUUGCAACAAAUAAGCAUUUCAGUCUAGCAGCCAAAUUGUCCUCAUUACAAUGGA